AUUGAACGCUGGCGGCAUGCUUUACACAUGCCAGUCGAACGGUAACAGGCCUUCGGGUGCUGACGAGUGGCGGACGGGUGAGUAAUGCAUCGGAACGUGCCCAGAGGUGGGGGAUAACGCAGCGAAAGCUGUGCUAAUACCGCAUGUGAUCUGAGGAUGAAAGCGGGGGACCAGGCAGCAAUGUUUGGCCUCGCGCCUUUGGAGCGGCCGAUGUCAGAUUAGGUAGUUGGUGGGGUAAAGGCCUACCAAGCCGACGAUCUGUAGCUGGUCUGAGAGGACGACCAGCCACACUGGGACUGAGACACGGCCCAGACUCCUACGGGAGGCAGCAGUGGGGAAUUUUGGACAAUGGGCGCAAGCCUGAUCCAGCAAUGCCGCGUGCGGGAAGAAGGCCUUCGGGUUGUAAACCGCUUUUGUACGGAACGAAAAGGCUCUGGCUAAUACCUGGGGCUGAUGACGGUACCGUAAGAAUAAGCACCGGCUAACUACGUG
Molecule: ribosomal RNA, 492 nt
Filed under: uncultured bacterium
Lineage: Bacteria
Description: partial 16S ribosomal RNA
Rfam family: Bacterial small subunit ribosomal RNA
Source: RNAcentral